AAUGAGCAAAUUAGUCUUUGUACAUUAGAUGAAAGCGCAAAUUUGUCCUUUUCUGUUAAAAGUUUCAUUUAUUUGAUCUAACGUACAGAGACUAGUUUGCCCAU
This 104-nucleotide microRNA precursor is filed under the name Gossypium raimondii (Peruvian cotton). RNAcentral describes it as "miR8779 stem-loop (gra-MIR8779)". The record is from miRBase by way of RNAcentral. Lineage: Eukaryota; Viridiplantae; Streptophyta; Magnoliopsida; Malvales; Malvaceae.